AAAUUUGAUUGUGAUCUAAAGCAGCUGCGGUUUGCAGGUGACCUUCUUAUGGAAUUGGGUGCUGGUGUGGAGCUAGCAACUGCAGCUGUUCCUCACCUUUUUCUUCCUUUGGCUUGUGCUGCUAAUGUGGCUAAGAAUGUUGCUGCUGUAACAUCAACUUCAACUCGGACGCCAAUUUACAAAGCCUUUGCUAAAGGAGA
This 200-nucleotide unclassified non-coding RNA is filed under the name Hevea brasiliensis (rubber tree). The record is from RNAcentral. Lineage: Eukaryota; Viridiplantae; Streptophyta; Magnoliopsida; Malpighiales; Euphorbiaceae.